Molecule: long non-coding RNA, 370 nt
Filed under: Medicago truncatula (barrel medic)
Lineage: Eukaryota; Viridiplantae; Streptophyta; Magnoliopsida; Fabales; Fabaceae
Description: long non-coding RNA (MTRU_LNC000347)
Source: RNAcentral
UAAAGCUUGGUGUCUUCAACUGAGUUCUUCAGGUCUAUUUAUAGGGAAAAAUCUGCUCUGAAGUGCUUCUGAUCAUGUCUCAAGUAGUGGAGAAAAUGAAGAAAGUGGGCAAACUGCUUCUGAAACGUGGGGAAAGAAUAGGUCAGGCUUUUACUUCCCACUGACUUCUGACUUUUUAACCUUCUUUUCCAUUUUUCCCCUUUCUUUCCUUUUUUCGCCGAAUUUCAACAUUUUGACGCGCGGAGACCUUUAACCGAUAAAUACCUGAAAUAGACACACACUACCAACAUAACAUUGCAAAAAUUUAUAAAAUCAAAAUCAAAAAAUGUGUAAGAUGAGUCAAAAUAAUAGUGCAUUUUACGUGUUAUCA